UACGAAGGGUGCAAGCGUUACUCGGAAUUACUGGGCGUAAAGCGUGCGUAGGUGGUUUGUUAAGUCUGUUGUGAAAGCCCCGGGCUCAACCUGGGAAUGGCAAUGGAUACUGGCAAGCUAGAGUGCGGUAGAGGGUAGUGGAAUUCCCGGUGUGGCGGUGAAAUGCGUAGAGAUCGGGAGGAACACCAGUGGCGAAGGCGGCUACCUGGACCAGCACUGACACUGAGGCACGAAAGCGUGGGGAGCAAACAGG
RNAcentral lists this ribosomal RNA (253 nucleotides) under uncultured bacterium. Its description in RNAcentral is "partial 16S ribosomal RNA". It matches the Rfam family "Bacterial small subunit ribosomal RNA", at positions 524 to 776 of the family's 1533-position model. The record is from RNAcentral.